GAUGAACGCUGGCGGCGUGCCUAAUACAUGCAAGUCGAGCGAACAGACGAGGAGCUUGCUCCUCUGACGUUAGCGGCGGACGGGUGAGUAACACGUGGAUAACCUACCUAUAAGACUGGGAUAACUUCGGGAAACCGGAGCUAAUACCGGAUAAUAUAUUGAACCGCAUGGUUCAAUAGUGAAAGACGGUUUUGCUGUCACUUAUAGAAGGAUACGCGCCGCAUUAGCUAGUUGGUAAGGUAACGGCUUACCAAGGCAACGAUGCGUAGCCGACCUGAGAGGGUGGUCGGCCACACGGGAACUGAGACACGGUCCAGACUCCGACGGGAGGCAGCAGUAGGGAAUCUUCCGCAAUGGGCGAGAGCCUGACGGAGCAACGCCGCGGGAAUGAUGAAGGUCUUCGGAUCGUAAAACUCUGUUAUUAGGGAAGAACAAAUGUGUAAGUAACUAUGCACGUCUUGACGGUACCUAAUCAGAAAGCCACGGCUAACUACGUG
This 497-nucleotide ribosomal RNA is filed under the name uncultured bacterium. RNAcentral describes it as "partial 16S ribosomal RNA". It matches the Rfam family "Bacterial small subunit ribosomal RNA", at positions 28 to 507 of the family's 1533-position model. The record is from RNAcentral.